UGUAGAAAACAUAGGUGGGUGCUAAUUUCUGCUUUCCGGUUUAAUAGCCAUCCACAUGUUCUCUGUCAACCCAGGGGGAAUUCUAUAAGAAAGGCUGGCAUCUCUGAGCGUUUCCAGAACCAUAUCCAUGCUUUCUAUCAACCGCGAUCCAGACCCGCCUCCAGCCCCCAAGGAUGACUUGCUACAGUCCUCUAGGAUACUGCAGUCCGAAGAACUACAGCUGGAAAAACAACAUGGGGAAAAGUUGUUACCACCUGUCUGGGUAUAACUCUAGCUGUUGCCAACCCUCUGGAUGUCACUAUGGCAGUAGUCCUUGUGGUUAUGGCUAUGGAUCCGGAUCCAGUUAUGGCUCCUCUGGCUACAGCUCCGAAUCCAGCUGCUGCUCACCUCACUACAGAUCCAGCUGUUGCUCAUCACAGGACAGCCCCAGCUUUUGCUCACCCCUGUAUAGCUCCAAAUGUUGCCCACCUUGGUACAGCUCUAGCUGUUGCUCACCAAGCUACAGCUCCAGCUGUUGCUCACCAAGGUACAGCUCCAGCUGUUGCUCACCAAGGUACAACUCCAGCAGUUGCUCACAUCGAUACUACUCCAGCUGUUGCUCACCUAGAUACAACUCCAGCUGUUGCUCACCUGGGUAUAACUCCAGCUGCGGCUCACAUCGAUACUGCUUUCGCUGUUGCCCCCUUGCUGCUGCUCCAGCUGUUGCUCACCUUGGUACCGCUCCAGCUGUUGCUCACAUCAAUACUGUUCCAGCUGUUACUCACCUGGAUAUAGCUCCACCUGUUGCUUACCUUGGUACAGCUCAAUUCGUUGCUCACCUAGAUAUAACUCCAGCUGUUGCUCAUCGGGGUGUAUCUCCAGCUGUUGCUCACAAUGAUACUGCUCCAGCUGUUGCUCCCUUGCUGCCACUCCAGCUGUUUCUAAAUUCAGUACAGCCUCAUCUGUUAUUCAUCUAGGCACAGCUCCAGCUCCCCUUGCUGCAGCUCCAGCUGUUGCUCACCUUGGCACUGCUCCAGCUGUUGCUCACAUCAAUACUGCUCCAGCUGUUGCUCACCUCAGUGCAGCUCCAGCCUUUGCUGUCCUUGCUGUAGUUCCAGUUGUUGCUCACCUUGAUGCAGCUCCAGCUGCUGUGCACCUUGCCACAGUUCCUGGGGCUACUCUUCCAGAUGCUGGUGCUACCCUGGUAGAUACUGGAGAUACAGCUCCAGCUGCUCCUGUCCAUGGUAAACCUGGAUAGAAGCACCAUCAGGAAAACACAACACACCCUUUAACAAAUGAUCUGUAAUGACUGUGCAUGGCUUUCAAAGAUCCUGGGUUCCCAAAUUAUUGCCAUUCAAGUCAAUGAUAUUUUGGGUGCUCAGGAGCUCUGAAAAUCAAGAAUUACACAUUUUUUACACCUUUGACCAGGGGAUGUAUUCUAGAUAAGCUUUCGCCUGCCUGUUUUCCUCCAAAUGUUUGGACAACAAAUCGUGUAAGCCCCAGCCAGCUGGAAUUGAUAAGAGUUGCUGUCCAGGACAUAGGAAGGCACCAGGCUGUUGAAGUCUGUUCUAGAUGUUGUUCAGUAGAUUGCCACUGUAUUUCCUUAUACACACUUUCCCCCUUUUCAGAUCUUGAGUAUCUUAGAGAUGCAAAUAAUUCCUUCUGCUCGGUUCUUUGGGUGGUGGUGGUGGCAGAAAAUAAGAACAAAGUAUUGUACCGUGGUUUUCAAACUGUGUUCUGAGGAACCUUGGGGUUUACAAGCAUUCCACAAAACCAAUUCAUGAGAAGUCCUAAGUGUGCAUGGGGGGGGGGACAGAGUAUCUCUGCAAAACCAGUGCUUGGAGCAUUCAUUCUAAAAAGGCAUUCGACCCCUUCCAUCCCUUCCAAUGAAGGAACUAGUUCCAGAUCGAGUUUGCCCCCUCCAAAAAGGAACUAAUUGUGUUCCAUUUCAAUUCACAAUUCAUUCAUGUCAUCCUCUGCAUUUUCUACAAGUAUCGAAAUUUUACAAGGUGCUCUGCUUAAGUAUAAAAUGUUCUUAAGGAGAGUACCAAAACAUCAACAUGAACACAGUGGAAUGUGAACAAUCAUUUGAUUUCCCUUCCUCAACAAUUACGAUCCUUAAACUUUAAUGGCAGCAUCACUUGUUAGGUAGGUAAAAAUGGUAAAUGCAAUGGUCACCAUCAAACUGGGGUUAAGUGCAAUGAAACCCCUUUAUAUACAGAAAUUAAAAUGAGAACUGAAUUAAAAAUAGCCCUACGUUCCACCACAAAAGCAACUUAAUUCACAUUCAGUUCACUCGGGAAUUGUAGGAACUACUUUCAGGUGUAAUUCAGAGAUUUUUGAAUUAAUUCAGCAAACUGGUUAAUCUGAAUUAGUAUGUUCCAAGCACUGUGCAGUGCAGCAGAGGCCCAUCUGCACUGUGCAUUUCAAGCAAUAUUACACCACUUUAAAUAGUCAUGGCUUCCCCCAAAGAAUCCUAGAAACUGUCGGGUGCUGAGAGUUGUUCCUUCCAUAUUAUUUCACAGAGUGAUGAUUCCCAGAGUUCCCUGAAAAGAUGGAUUGGUUAUUAAACCACGUUGGGAAUCGUAGCUCUGUGAGGGGAAUAAAAAAUGGAAAUGGACUGCCCUCAAGUUAAUCCAGAUUUAUGGCGACCCUACAGAUAGGGUUUUUGUGGUAAGCUGUAUUCAGAGGGGUGUUUACCAUUGCCUUCCUCUGAGGCUGAGAGGCAGUGACUGGCCCAAGGUCACCCACUGAGCUUCAUGGCUGCGUGGGGUUUCGAAUCCUGGUCUCCCAGGCCAUAGUCCAACACCUUAACCAUUACACCAUGCUGGCUCUCGGGCCUCUUAACAAAUCUCAACACUCUUAACAAAAUACACAUCCCAGGAGUCUUUGUUUUUUGCAUUUCCUUUUGCUCCUCCCCCCAAUAAGAAUUAGUUGAAAGUGAUCCCACCCCAAGGUAGGAACCGUGAAAACCACUGCUUUACAAAGUCAUUGCUGGGAUGGCCACUGGCUUAGGGCGAUUUUGCACAUUAUCUUCAGUUGCUGGAUUUCUGCCACCUCUGUGGUUUGCUCUGUACCCAGCCAGUAAUAUGUGGAUCUUCAGCGAGGGUAAGUUAUGCACACACACCAUGCUGGUGGUGACACAUCCCACAAUGACCAGAACAAUAUGUAAUGCUGCCUUCUGGCCUAACGACAUAGGCAGAAAGUAUUUAUAUGGUGAUAGGAAGAAGAUAGAAAUCACUAAGAGGGAGAGGAGUCUUCUCUUCUACUAGCUGAGGUUGUCCAUCAUGGGAUAAAGGGAACGAUAUCAUAAAUAUGGCCAUGAUGGGAUUUGGACAGGUGAUGGGUAAAAUAUUUGACUUGUGACAGAGAGGUUGGUGGGGUAAAGGGACAACAUACAGCUCACUCCUUCCAUGGUUGGAGCCAGUAUGCCUCUGAGUGCCAUUUGCUGGAAACUGCUGGAGGGGAGAGAUGGUGCUGCACUCGGGUCCUGUUUGUUGGCUUUCCAGAAGAGGCAUCUGGUUGGUCAUUGUGAGAAUAGGAUGCUGGAGUAGAUGGGCCUUUAGUAUGAUCCAGCUGUAGGGCUCUUCUUAUGUUCUUACAUUCAGAGGAAGAAGGAUUGCAAAAUUCAUGGAGGGAGACAGAUCCAGCAAUAGCUAUUAACCACCGAAGCUAAAUAGACGUUCUGUCUUCAGAUGCAGUCUGUCUUUGAUUGUUAAUGUAGAUAGGACAAAUGACAGAGGAUGGCCAAUCAGCUUCUUGCCUUGCUCAGCAGGUUCCAGAGGCAACUUAUUGGCUACCAUUAGAAAGAAAAGGAGAAUGGGACACAAGCCGGACCUUUGGCCAUCACAAAUGAAAGAGUGUUUGUGCAUGUUAGGAAGAUCAGUACAUGAGCGGGAAAGAAGGACGGAUUCCGGGGCCAGAAGAUGUGAGGAUGGCCCCUCAGGCUUAGAUGGCUUUUCUGGAAAAUGUAGACCGAUCCGUGGAGGAGAGGUCUAGCAACAGCUGUUCAACAGAAUGGCUAAGAAUUGUACCUCUGUGCUCAGAGGCAAUGGGCUGCAUCCAUCUGAGUCCUACUCAGAGUAAGCCCAUGGAAAUAAAUGGUCAUGACUACCGUAGGUCCAUUGAAACCAAUAUACGUGAUCUGAGUAGGAAUUAGCUGGAUGCAAGCCAGUAUGCCACUGAUCAAUAGAUGCACCUGGAGACGAACCACAGAGGGUGUAUUAUCCUUUCCACACAAACCCUGUGUGUGGGUUUCUCUGGGGAACAUGGCUUGCCUCUGUAGGAAACAGAGUGCUGGACUAGAUAACCCCAUAUUUUGUGGGGUCUGAUCCAGCACGGCUAGUCAUGUUCUUAAGUAACCUUAAUAUUACAGUAUCUCUUUACACCUGCUUUGUUGUCAUGUUCUUAAGUAUCCUUGAGAUUAUGACUGUGCCUGCUUUGUAAUGAAUAGUUUCACUCUGGCUUUUUGCUACUCCUUCUCAUUAAAGUUUGUAUUCUGCAUUGAA
This is a long non-coding RNA of Rhineura floridana, 4487 nucleotides long. RefSeq lists it as uncharacterized. The transcript has 2 exons. NCBI's taxonomy places the organism in Eukaryota, Metazoa, Chordata, Lepidosauria, Squamata, Rhineuridae. The record is from RefSeq and is a predicted model, not a curated record.